RNAcentral lists this ribosomal RNA (1194 nucleotides) under uncultured fungus. RNAcentral describes it as "eukaryotic LSU rRNA". The stretch from base 562 to 1194 matches the Rfam family "Eukaryotic large subunit ribosomal RNA", at positions 1 to 649 of the family's 3401-position model. Lineage: Eukaryota; Fungi. The record is from RNAcentral.
AAGUCGUAACAAGGUUUCCGUAGGUGAACCUGCGGAAGGAUCAUUAAAACGAACCUUCGGGGGUAGGACCCAAAAUUUGGCACACUAUCGUCGAGCCCACGUUCCCCGAUAUCCAUCUUUUGACCUGCCCUGUCUGAACAUACCCAUGAUUUUGCGUACUAUUUGUUUCCUCGGUGGGCUUGCCCACCGCUAGGACAACUAAAACCCUUUUGUAAUUGCAGUCAGCGUCAGAAACAAAUAAUUAUUACAACUUUCAACAACGGAUCUCUUGGUUCUGGCAUCGAUGAAGAACGCAGCGAAAUGCGAUAAGUAGUGUGAAUUGCAGAAUUCAGUGAAUCAUCGAAUCUUUGAACGCACAUUGCGCCCCUUGGUAUUCCAUGGGGCAUGCCUGUUCGAGCGUCAUUUGUACCCUCAAGCUCUGCUUGGUGUUGGGUGUUUGUCUCACUAAACGUGUAGACUCGCCUUAAAGUUAUUGGCAGCCGGCAUAUUGGUCUCGGAGCGCAGCACAAGUCGCGCUUUGUACCAUACUUGUUGGCGUCCAGCAGCCUAUACAUUUGCUCUUGACCUCGGAUCAGGUAGGGAUACCCGCUGAACUUAAGCAUAUCAAUAAGCGGAGGAAAAGAAACCAACAGGGAUUGCCCUAGUAACGGCGAGUGAAGCGGCAACAGCUCAAAUUUGAAAUCUGGCUCUUUCAGGGUCCGAGUUGUAAUUUGCAGAGGGCGCUUUGGUGUUGGCAGCGGUCCAAGUUCCUUGGAACAGGACGUCACAGAGGGUGAGAAUCCCGUACGUGGUCGCUACCCUUCGCCGUGUAAAGCCCCUUCGACGAGUCGAGUUGUUUGGGAAUGCAGCUCUAAAUGGGAGGUAAAUUUCUUCUAAAGCUAAAUACUGGCCAGAGACCGAUAGCGCACAAGUAGAGUGAUCGAAAGAUGAAAAGCACUUUGGAAAGAGAGUCAAAUAGCACGUGAAAUUGUUGAAAGGGAAGCGCUUGCAGCCAGACUUGCCUGUAGUUGCUCAUCCGGGCUUUUGCCCGGUGCACUCUUCUGCGGGCAGGCCAGCAUCAGUUUGGGCGGUUGGAUAAAGGUCUCUGUCACGUACCUCUCUUCGGGGAGGCCUUAUAGGGGAGACGCCAUACAACCAGCCUGAACUGAGGUCCGCGCAUUUGCUAGGAUGCUGGCGUAAUGGCUGUAAGCGGCC